Molecule: RNA transcript, 1998 nt
Organism: Leopardus geoffroyi (Geoffroy's cat)
Lineage: Eukaryota; Metazoa; Chordata; Mammalia; Carnivora; Felidae
Gene: CDKL3
Gene name: cyclin dependent kinase like 3
Exons: 13
Source: RefSeq, a predicted model, not a curated record
UAGUUGACCCGCUGGGUCUGCGCGGAACCUGGCUGGCGGCAUUACAAAAUGGGCUGAGACGUCGGUGGUUGACUGGAUGAGGUCGACUUCGGGAAGAAGGGCGCGACUGAAGAAUCCAGAUUUGAAAAUGGAGAUGUAUGAAACUCUCGGAAAAGUGGGAGAGGGAAGUUAUGGAACAGUCAUGAAAUGUAAACGUAAGGAUACUGGGCAGAUAGUGGCCAUUAAGAUAUUUUAUGAGAAACCAGAAAAAUCUGUCAACAAAAUUGCAACGAGAGAAAUAAAGUUUUUAAAGCAAUUUCAUCAUGAAAACCUGGUCAAUUUGAUUGAAGUUUUUAGACAGAAAAAGAAAAUUCAUUUGGUGUUUGAAUUUAUUGACCACACAGUAUUAGAUGAGUUACAACAUUAUUGUCAUGGACUGGAGAGUAAACGACUUAGAAAAUACCUGUUCCAGAUCCUUCGGGCAAUUGAAUAUCUUCACAAUAAUAAUAUCAUUCAUCGAGAUAUAAAACCUGAGAAUAUUUUAGUAUCCCAGUCAGGAAUUACUAAGCUCUGUGAUUUUGGUUUUGCACGAACUCUAGCAGCUCCUGGGGACAUUUAUACGGACUAUGUGGCCACACGCUGGUAUAGAGCUCCAGAAUUAGUAUUAAAAGAUACCUCUUAUGGAAAACCUGUAGAUAUCUGGGCUUUAGGUUGUAUGAUCAUUGAGAUGGCCACUGGAAAUCCCUAUCUUCCUAGCAGCUCUGAUUUGGAUUUACUUCAUAAAAUUGUUUUAAAAGUAGGCAAUUUGACACCUCAUUUACAGAAUAUCUUUUCCAAGAGUCCCAUUUUUGCUGGGGUGGUCCUUCCUCAAGUUCAACACCCCAAAAAUGCAAGAAAAAAAUACCCAAAGCUAAAUGGAUUGUUGGCAGAUAUAGUUCAUGCUUGUUUACAAAUUGAUCCUGCUGAGAGGACAUCGUCAACUGAUCUUUUGCAUCAUGAGUAUUUUACUAGAGAUGGAUUUAUAGAAAAAUUUAUACCAGAACUGAGAGCUAAAUUACUACAAGAAGCAAAAGUCAAUUCAUUCAUAAAGCCAAAAGAGAAUUCUAAAGAAAAUGAACUUAUGAAAGAUGAAAGGAAAACAACUUCUACCAAUACACUGUUAAGUACUCCAAUUUUGGGAAAGGAAAUGGAAAAAGAGAAAAGGCCCAAGGAGAUCAAAGUCAGAGUUAUUAAAGUCAAAGGAGGAAAAGGAGAUAUCUUAGAAUCAAAAAAGACAGAGUGUGAAGGUGGACAUUGUCAACAGGAUGCAAUUGAAAAUGUUCAUACUAUAUCUCAAGACACAAAAUCUAUAAUCAGUGAACUACCAAACCCUGUCAAUCCCGGCACUAACUCUAAUGGAAUGAAAAAUGAUCCACAUACUGGAGGUAGUAUGAUGAUGCCACCUAUCAAUCUAACUAGCAGUAAUUUGGUGGCUUCAAAUCCCAUGUCAAAUCUUUCCCACUCCAAGAGCCAAAUGGACAAGGGUGUAUUUAAUGAGCGAACAGGUCAAAAUGACCAAAUAGCAAAUGGAAACAAAAGAAAGCUGAAUUCUUCCAGAUCUGACAGGAAGGAAUUCCAUUUCCCAGAACUGCCUUUCACGAUACAGCCCAAGGAGAUGAAAGGAAUGGAAGGGUGGAGAUGGCCAUUUUAAGGGGAAGAAUUGGAAGAGGAACAGAUUUUUUUCUGGUUUCCAUGAUUUGCAACUUUAUUCUGGUUGGUGUUGGAAAGGCAGGCUUGAAUGACCAUCCUAGUCCCAAGUAGAGCAACAGUAUCUGCCAUCCCACAUGCUCUUCUGGAACUUUGCCUUUGCCUCUGUAAAGCUGGAGUCUGAUUCUACUCUCUUUGAGUCUGGCUGAGGAAUUCUGGAUAUCCUUUAAGAUGUAGCUCAAGCAUCAGCUUCUGUGGAAGUACUUCCCAAGCUGCCCCAAGUAACGAUGCCGUUCCUCUUCUGUACGUGUUUAAUAAAUACGUUUACCUGUA